AUUAAAGUUGUUGCAGUUAAAAAGCUCGUAGUUGGAUUUUAGGGUAACUUCGACCCCUUGCCUCGCCGGUAGGUGAGUUUUGCAGGGGUUGAUUACUCUUUAUUAUAUCUUCCGAGACGCACUUGCCUGCUCUUAAUUGAGUGGGUUAGGGGUCUUGGAUCGUUUACUUUGAAAAAAUUAGGGUGUUUAAAGCAGGCUACAUUUAUGCCUUGAAUAGAUUAGCAUGGGAUAAUAGAAUAGGACUUCUCUUUCUUUUUGGUUAGUUUCAGAAAAAGGGGUAAUGAUAAAUAGGAACGGUCGGGGUUAUUCAUAUUUAAUUGUCAGAGGUGAAAUUCUUAGAUUUUUUAAAGAUGAACCUAUGCGAAAGCAUCUAACAAGGACGCUUUCAUUGAUCAAGAACGAAAGUUAGGGGAUCGAAGACGAUCAGAUACCGUCGUAGUCUUAACUAUAAACGAUGCGGACCAAGGAUUAGGUGAUGUUAUUUGUACAACUCUCCCAGCACUUUGAGAGUAAUCAGAGUCUUUACGCUCCGGGGGGAGUAUGGUCGCAAGGCUGAAACUUAUAGGAAUUGACGGAAGGGCACCACCAGGAGUGGAGCCUGCGGCUUAAUUUGACCCAACACGGGAAAACUCACUAGGUCAGGACAUAGCAAGGAUUGACAGAUUGAUAGUUCUUUCUUAAUUUCUAUGGGUGGUGGUGCAUGGCCGUUCUUAGUUGGUGGAGUGAUUUGUCUGGUUAAUUCCGAUAACGAACGAGACCUCAGCUUGUUAACUAGUGGUAGUAAGCUUCUAUAUGGGUGAAGCUGGAUUUUAUCGUAGAGCUCGGGAAACCGAGCCUCUGCGGUAGUCUAGUGGAUCCUUGAUGUUUUGCUGCUGACAUAAAACUUCCUAAAGGGACUGUUCACGUUUAGUGAAUGGAAGUGAGGCAAUAACAGGUCUGUGAUGCCCUUAGAUGUCCUAGGCUGCACGCGCGCUACACUGACGGGAUCAGAGAGUUGUCUUUCCUGGUUCGAAGGAAUCGGGUAAUCUGAAAAACCCCGUCGUGACAGGGAUCGAUUAUUGCAAUUAUUAGUCGUGAACGAGGAAUUCCUAGUAAGCGCAAGUCAUCAGCUUGCGUUGAUUACGUCCCUGCCCUUUGUACACACCGCCCGUCGCUCCUACCGAUUGAAUGGUCCGGUGAAAUGUUCGGAUAUUGAGGUCCAGGGAACUGGGGCAACCUGGUUUCUAACUUCUAAAGAAGAGCAGUGAACCUUAUCAUUUAGAGGAAGGAGAAGUCGUAACAAGGUUUCCGUAGGUGAACCUGCGGAAG
RNAcentral lists this ribosomal RNA (1308 nucleotides) under metagenome. RNAcentral describes it as "SSU rRNA". It matches the Rfam family "Eukaryotic small subunit ribosomal RNA", at positions 603 to 1823 of the family's 1831-position model. The record is from RNAcentral.